AGCCCAGAGCCUGAAUCAGUGUGUGUGUUAGUGGAAGCGUCUGGAAAGGCGCGCGAUACAGGGUGACAGCCCCGUACACAAAAAUGCACAUGCUGUGAGCUCGAUGAGUAGGGCGGGACACGUGGUAUCCUGUCUGAAUAUGGGGGGACCAUCCUCCAAGGCUAAAUACUCCUGACUGACCGAUAGUGAACCAGUACCGUGAGGGAAAGGCGAAAAGAACCCCGGCGAGGGGAGUGAAAAAGAACCUGAAACCGUGUACGUACAAGCAGUGGGAGCACAGAGCAAUCUGUGUGACUGCGUACCUUUUGUAUAAUGGGUCAGCGACUUAUAUUCUGUAGCAAGGUUAACCGAAUAGGGGAGCCGAAGGGAAACCGAGUCUUAACUGGGCGUUAAGUUGCAGGGUAUAGACCCGAAACCCGGUGAUCUAGCCAUGGGCAGGUUGAAGGUUGGGUAACACUAACUGGAGGACCGAACCGACUAAUGUUGAAAAAUUAGCGGAUGACUUGUGGCUGGGGGUGAAAGGCCAAUCAAACCGGGAGAUAGCUGGUUCUCCCCGAAAGCUAUUUAGGUAGCGCCUCGUGAAUUCAUCUCCGGGGGUAGAGCACUGUUUCGGCAAGGGGGUCAUCCCGACUUACCAACCCGAUGCAAACU
This 651-nucleotide ribosomal RNA is filed under the name Escherichia coli. Its description in RNAcentral is "partial 23S ribosomal RNA". It matches the Rfam family "Bacterial large subunit ribosomal RNA", at positions 296 to 955 of the family's 2925-position model. Lineage: Bacteria; Pseudomonadati; Pseudomonadota; Gammaproteobacteria; Enterobacterales; Enterobacteriaceae. The record is from RNAcentral.